UAACUCAAAUCACACAGGUCCAAAUGCAAGAACAAUUAUUCAGUAAAGCAGAUAACAAGAAAUCAAGCAGUAAAAGUAGGGUUUGAAGAAUUAAACCAUAGUAGUGGUCGUUUCACAUGACCACACACGAAUUUCAUCAAGGUACGAGUCCACAAUACCCAAGAUCGAACAAAUCCAAUCACCGUAGGCAAUUUUCACC
Molecule: long non-coding RNA, 199 nt
Filed under: Olea europaea (common olive)
Lineage: Eukaryota; Viridiplantae; Streptophyta; Magnoliopsida; Lamiales; Oleaceae
Description: long non-coding RNA (OEUR_LNC004664)
Source: RNAcentral